RNAcentral lists this ribosomal RNA (256 nucleotides) under Klebsiella pneumoniae. Its description in RNAcentral is "partial 23S ribosomal RNA". It matches the Rfam family "Bacterial large subunit ribosomal RNA", at positions 17 to 272 of the family's 2925-position model. Lineage: Bacteria; Pseudomonadati; Pseudomonadota; Gammaproteobacteria; Enterobacterales; Enterobacteriaceae. The record is from RNAcentral.
CGUACACGGUGGAUGCCCUGGCAGUCAGAGGCGAUGAAGGACGUGCUAAUCUGCGAAAAGCGUCGGUAAGGUGAUAUGAACCGUUAUAACCGGCGAUGUCCGAAUGGGGAAACCCAGUGUGAUUCGUCACACUAUCGUUAACUGAAUACAUAGGUUAACGAGGCGAACCGGGGGAACUGAAACAUCUAAGUACCCCGAGGAAAAGAAAUCAACCGAGAUUCCCCCAGUAGCGGCGAGCGAACGGGGAGCAGCCCAG